GUCGCUCCGCGAAAACUUAUUUAAAGCGGUCACCAGUAAAAUGCUUGUCUAGUCAACUCUUCAAGUCGUGAAAAUCAUAGUCGAAAAGCAAACUGUUUAAAAACAAAAUGUUGAAAUUGAAAGCCGUCAUUAAAAUAGCUUUGACAUUUGUUGUUGCCGUUAUGUUCUUUAGCGUAAGUGCUUAUGCYAUUAAUCGGAAAGCAUUGCUCACGGAUGGAAAAUGAAGCCGAAGUGAUUGUAARCUAAACUGAUAUUUGUUGAUAGACAACUGCAAUAGACGAAGGUUAUGAGGAACACACAUAUAAUAUCAUAUUUAUAUACCRUACUUACAAAUAUACAUACAUAUGUACAUACUGA
Long non-coding RNA from Bactrocera latifrons, 357 nucleotides. RefSeq lists it as uncharacterized. The transcript has 2 exons. NCBI's taxonomy places the organism in Eukaryota, Metazoa, Arthropoda, Insecta, Diptera, Tephritidae. The record is from RefSeq and is a predicted model, not a curated record.